UACGGAGGGGGCUAGCGUUGUUCGGAAUUACUGGGCGUAAAGCGCACGUAGGCGGCUUUGUAAGUUAGAGGUGAAAGCCCAGAGCUCAACUCUGGAAUUGCCUUUAAGACUGCAUCGCUAGAACACGGGAGAGGUGAGUGGAAUUCCGAGUGUAGAGGUGAAAUUCGUAGAUAUUCGGAAGAACACCAGUGGCGAAGGCGGCUCACUGGACCGUUGUUGACGCUGAGGUGCGAAAGCGUGGGGAGCAAACAGGAUUAGAAACCCUAGUAGU
Molecule: ribosomal RNA, 271 nt
Filed under: uncultured bacterium
Lineage: Bacteria
Description: partial 16S ribosomal RNA
Rfam family: Bacterial small subunit ribosomal RNA
Source: RNAcentral